Callithrix jacchus (white-tufted-ear marmoset) is the source of this 13205-nucleotide non-coding RNA. Lineage: Eukaryota; Metazoa; Chordata; Mammalia; Primates; Cebidae. The record is from RefSeq and is a predicted model, not a curated record.
GGGGCGGAGAGCCGAGCCGGGGCGGGGUGGGGGGGAGGGGCCGUGGGAACGGAUGGCGGCCUGGGCCCGGUAGCAGCGGCGGCUUUACGGCCCGGGGCCCCGGGCGGGCGGAGGUGGCGGCUCCCGGGACCGGCCGCGCGCAAUGAUGUUGUCCACUGGGCAUGUACUGACCAAUGUGGCAGGUCUGAGAACGUAGCUGAAGCUGAAAAUAGGAAAGCUGGGGGCAAGGAAGAGCCUUGAAUCUUGAGGUGGGACGUUGACUCUAAGAUGUCCUUGAGCAGUGGAGCCUCCGGAGGGAAAGGAGUGGAUGCAAACCCGGUUGAGACAUACGACAGUGGGGAUGAAUGGGACAUUGGAGUAGGGAAUCUCAUCAUUGACCUGGACGCCGAUCUGGAAAAGGACCAGCAGAAACUGGAAAUGUCAGGCUCAAAGGAGGUGGGAAUACCGGCUCCCAAUGCUGUGGCCACACUACCAGACAACAUCAAGUUUGUGACCCCAGUGCCAGGCCCUCAAGGGAAGGAAGGCAAAUCAAAAUCCAAAAGGAAUAAGAGUGGCAAAGACACUAGCAAACCCACUCCAGGGACUUCCCUGUUCACUCCAAGUGAGGGGGCAGCUAGCAAGAAAGAGGUGCAGGGGCGCUCUGGAGAUGGUGCCAGUGCUGGAGGCCUGGUUGCUGCUAUUGCUCCCAAGGGCUCAGAGAAGGCGGCUAAGGCAUCCCGCAGUGUAGCUGGUUCCAAAAAGGAGAAGGAGAACAGCUCAUCUAAGAGCAAGAAGGAGAGAAGCGAAGGAGUGGGGACUUGUUCAGAAAAGGAUCCUGGGGUCCUCCAGCCAGUUGCCUUGGGAGGACGGGGUGGUCAGUAUGAUGGAAGUGCAGGGGUGGAUACAGGAGCUGUGGAGCCACUUGGGAGUAUAGCUAUUGAGCCUGGGGCAGCGCUCAAUCCUUUGGGAACUAAACCGGAGCCAGAGGAAGGGGAGAAUGAGUGUCGCCCGCUAAAGAAAGUCAAGUCUGAAAAGAUGGAGUCCCCUGUUUCUACACCAGCGGUACUGCCAAUACACCUUUUGGUGCCAGUGGUCAAUAAUGACAUCUCAUCUCCUUGUGAGCAGAUCAUGGUUCGUACCCGAUCAGUUGGGGUCAACACAUGUGAUGUGGCUCUAGCCACAGAGCCUGAGUGCUUGGGCCCCUGUGAACCUGGAACUAGCGUCAACCUUGAAGGCAUCGUGUGGCAGGAAACGGAAGAUGGGAUGUUGGUGGUAAAUGUAACGUGGAGGAACAAGACAUAUGUGGGUACACUUCUUGACUGCACACGACAUGAUUGGGCACCCCCAAGGUUCUGUGACUCCCCGACCAGUGACCUGGAAAUGCGCAAUGGUCGGGGUAGAGGCAAACGCAUGCGUCCCAACAGUAACACACCUGUCAAUGAGACAGCCACAGCCUCUGACAGCAAAGGGACCAGUAGCAGCAGCAAAACCCGAGCAGGAGCCAAUAGCAAAGGCCGUCGGGGCAGCCAGAAUUCUUCGGAGCAUCGCCCACCUGCCAGCAGCACUUCUGAGGAUGUCAAGGCCAGCCCUUCCUCAGCUAAUAAGCGGAAAAACAAACCUCUUUCAGACAUGGAACUGAAUUCUAGCUCAGAGGACUCCAAAGGGAGCAAACGUGUCCGUACUAAUUCCAUGGGCUCAGCCACUGGCCCACUCCCUGGGACCAAGGUAGAACCCACUGUUCUGGACAGAAACUGUCCCUCCCCAGUCCUGAUUGACUGUCCCCACCCAAACUGCAACAAGAAGUACAAGCACAUCAAUGGACUUAAGUACCACCAAGCUCAUGCCCAUACAGAUGAUGACAGCAAGCCGGAAGCAGAUGGGGACAGUGAGUACGGAGAGGAACCUAUUCUCCAUGCAGAUCUUGGGAGCUGCAAUGGUGCAUCUGUCACACAGAAAGGUUCCUUGUCCCCUGCCCGCUCAGCUACCCCCAAAGUUCGGCUUGUAGAGCCUCAUAGCCCUUCUCCUUCAAGCAAAUUCAGCACAAAAGGCCUCUGUAAGAAAAAGUUGAGUGGGGAAGGCGACACAGACCUUGGGGCCUUAUCCAAUGAUGGCUCUGAUGAUGGACCCUCAGUGAUGGAUGAAACAAGCAACGAUGCCUUUGAUACUUUAGACAGGAAGUGUAUAGAAAAAGAAAAAUGUAAAAAACCUUCUACUUUAAAACCUGAAAAGAUUCCUUCCAAGAGCUUAAAGUCAGCCCGUCCCAUUGCCCCUGCCAUACCCCCACAGCAAAUCUACACCUUCCAGACGACCACCUUUACAGCAGCAAGCCCAGGCUCUUCCUCAGGCUUGACCGCCACAGUGGCACAAGCCAUGCCCAACAGUCCCCAACUUAAGCCCAUUCAGCCCAAGCCCACUGUUAUGGGAGAACCGUUCACAGUCAACCCUGCCUUGACUCCAGCCAAGGAUAAGAAAAAGAAAGACAAAAAAAAGAAGGAAUCUUCGAAGGAACUUGAAAGUCCUCUGACCCCAGGGAAGGUGUGUCGAGUAGAAGAAGGCAAAAGCCCAUUCAGGGAGUCUUCAGGAGAUGGGAUGAAAAUGGAGGGGCUCCUAAAUGGCUCAUCAGACCCCCACCAAAGCCGACUGGCUAGCAUCAAGGCUGAAGCUGACAAGAUCUACAGCUUCACGGACAAUGCCCCCAGCCCUUCCAUUGGAGGCAGUAGCCGCCUUGAAAACACUACCCCUACUCAGCCCCUAACUCCCUUACAUGUAGUGACCCAGAAUGGAGCUGAAGCCAGCUCAGUCAAAACCAACAGCCCUGCAUACUCUGACAUUUCUGAUGCUGGGGAGGAUGGGGAGGGCAAGAUAGACAGUGUCAAAUCAAAGGACGCUGAGCAAUUGGUUAAAGAAGGGGCUAAGAAAACUCUUUUCCCCCCUCAGCCUCAGAGCAAAGACUCACCAUAUUACCAAGGCUUUGAGAGUUACUAUUCUCCAAGUUAUGCACAGUCCAGCCCAGGGGCUCUGAACCCCAGCAGCCAGGCAGGAGUGGAGAGCCAGGCCCUAAAGACUAAAAAGGAUGAGGAACCUGAGAGCAUAGAAGGGAAAGUGAAGAACGAUGUCUGUGAGGAAAAGAAACCUGAACUGAGCAGUUCCAGUCAGCAGCCUUCGGUCAUCCAGCAGCGUCCCAACAUGUACAUGCAGUCCCUGUACUACAACCAGUAUGCCUACGUGCCCCCCUAUGGCUACAGUGACCAGAGUUACCACACCCACCUUCUGAGCACUAACACGGCUUACCGGCAGCAGUAUGAAGAACAGCAGAAACGUCAGAGUUUAGAGCAGCAGCAGCGGGGAGUGGACAAGAAGGCAGAGAUGAGCCUGAAGGAGCGGGAUGCAGCACUCAAGGAAGAGUGGAAGCAAAAGCCGUCAAUUCCACCAACUCUCACCAAGGCCCCCAGCCUGACAGACCUGGUAAAGUCAGGACCUGGCAAGGCCAAGGAGGCAGGGGCUGACCCAGCCAAAUCAGUCAUCAUUCCCAAGUUAGAUGACUGUUCAAAACUCCCUGGCCAGGCCCCUGAAGGCCUAAAAGUGAAGCUGAGUGACGCCAGCCACCUAAGCAAGGAGGCCUCUGAGGCCAAGACAGGCGCUGAGUGUGGUCGACAGGCAGAGGUGGAUCCAAUACUCUGGUACCGACAGGAAGCAGAGCCCCGGAUGUGGACAUAUGUUUAUCCUGCCAAGUACUCAGACGUCAAGUCAGAGGAUGAGCGGUGGAAGGAGGAGCGGGACCGCAAAUUGAAGGAGGAAAGGAGUCGGAGUAAGGACUCCAUCCCCAAGGAAGAUGGAAAGGAAAGCACAAGUAAUGACUGCAAGCUGCCCACGUCGGAGGAGUCUCGCCUUGGGAGCAAGGAGCCUCGGCCAAGUGUCCAUGUGCCUGUGUCCUCCCCGCUCACCCAGCACCAGUCCUACAUCCCCUACAUGCACGGCUAUUCGUACAGCCAAUCCUACGACCCCAACCACCCCAGCUACCGCAGUAUGCCUGCUGUGAUGAUGCAGAACUACCCAGGUUCCUACCUGCCUUCCAGCUACUCUUUUUCCCCAUAUGGCAGCAAGGUCUCAGGUAGUGAAGAUGCUGACAAGGCACGAGCCAGCCCCAGUGUCAGUUGUAAAUCCAGCUCUGAGUCCAAAGCCCUGGACAUCUUGCAGCAGCAUGCCAGUCACUACAAGAGCAAGUCUCCCACGAUAAGUGAUAAAACUUCUCAGGAGAGAGAUCGAGGAGGCUGUGGGGUGGUUGGGAGUGGUGGCAGUUGUAGCAGCGUUGGGGGAGCUGGUGGGGGUGAACGGAGUGUUGACCGGCCCCGCACCUCUCCUUCCCAGCGCCUGAUGUCCACACACCACCACCACCACCACUUGGGGUACUCGUUGCUCCCAGCACAGUACAACUUACCCUAUGCAGCAGGGCUUUCUUCUACAGCCAUUGUUGCCAGCCAGCAAGGCUCAACUCCCUCACUCUACCCACCCCCCAGGAGGUGAGAAUGACACCAAGUGCCCGGAUAAAGUCAGCUUCACGGGCCCGGACUGGCUCACGGAGGUGCUGAAGGUGCCAUUUAGACAUCAGUUAAAUGGUGUUGAUCAUCCUGUUUGCCGUUUCCACCAUGACUGAAGGCAGACCCUUGGCUAUGUCGCCCACCAGACCUCCGGACUACCUGACCCUCCCUCUUCCUCAGGAGCUGGAGAGCUGUGGUCUUCAAUAGCAAGUUUUUUUUUUGAAGAGGGAAAUCUUGACUGGGUGCCUUUCUGACUCUAGCUGUAUUGAAGAGGAACCACCAAUAGGUGGCAGCAGAAUCUCAAGCAGGUUUCUUGGGAAAAGGUAAGGGACUGAGUUUUGUCUUGGUUUUUAAUUUGUCUUGUAGAUUCCCUGUGUUUGAGUUUAAUAUCUGUAUCCUAAACUGCCAGCUGUCUCUAGGAAUUACCUGCUCAGUGGGGGACAUCUGAUUUCAACUGAAUGUCUCUAGUCCUGGAUUUGCUGUAAUAACAUGUCCCAGGCACAGUGGCUUAUGCCUGUAAUCCCAGCACUUUGGGAGGCUGAGGUGGGUGGAUCACUUGAGGCCAGGAGUUCAAGACCAGCCUGAGCAACAUGGCGAAACCCUGUCUCUAUUAUAAAUACAAAAAAUUAGCUGGGUCUGGUGGUGCACGUCUGUAAUUCCAGCUACUCAGGAGGUUGAGGCAGGAGAAUCACUUGAAAACUCAGGAAGUAGAGGCUGCAGUGAGCAAGACUGCACCACUGCACUCCAGCCUGGACAACAGAGCGAGACUCCAUCUCCAAAAAAAAAAAACCUUGAAAGUGGAGCUCAUUACUUUUUGGUUUGAGACAGUCUCGCUCUUGUCACCCAGGCUGGAGUGCAAUGGCACGAUCUCAGCUCACUGCAGCCUCCACCUUCCUGGGUUCAAGCACUUCUCCUGCUUCAGCCUCCUGAGUAUCUGGGAUUACAGGCACGUGCCACCAUGCCAGGCUAGUUUAUUUUGUAUUUUUAGUAGAGACAGGGUUUCACCACAUUAGCCAGGAUGGUCUCGAUCUCCUGACCUGGUGAUCAGCCCGCCUCAGCCUCCCAAAGUGCUGAGAUCAAAGGCGUGGGCCACUGCACCCAGCCCUCAUUACAUUUUAAUGAAUAUAAGGUAGAAUCCAAGAUUAAUUAACUUGGCCAGAGUGAAAACACAAGCAAGCUCCAUAAAGAGCAGUGUGAGAGCCACGGCUCAACAGUAGCCAGUUGCAAAAACGGAGGAGGUGAAGAACAUGCCCUUUACUUUGCAAAACAGAAGCAAAAGAAAGUGCAAGUUCUGGAGAAAUUAAAAAAGAAAACUAUGGUGAAGGGGAUUCCAGCCCCCUGGGUCCCACUGAGAGCUUAUUCAUUAGGCUAUGGUGUGGGGGACUGAAAGCCACACCUUAGGACACUGGGCUCCAAAAGGAGAAAACUAGAAUAGGGAAGGUGUGUGCUGCACCCUUCAAAGACCUCAGGAAUGGGAAUGUCAGGCAGCUCCACGCAAAAGCCAAAACCCACUUUCAGGGCCAGCUUCCCCAGCCUUUGGAGAAAAGGAAGAGCUAAGAGCAGCUUGGAUGUUAGCUGGAUCUUAGUAUUGCCUCUCCUAGGUGAAGCUCCUGUGUACCCAUCUCUAGGGGGCUCUGGCAGUGAGUCUCAGGCUCCUAGCAACCCCACAUUUCACAGUGUAAUAAGGCCCCAGAGACCUCGGCCACUUCAUCUGCCCUCCUACACUACAGCUUUUUUCCCCGAGAAGCAGGCACCACAGCUCUAUUAGAUUAGGCUCUGGACUUAAACAGUUUGGUAGGGAGUUGGUCCUAGUUCAGAAAUAAAGAAUAGACCAACCACAACUUUAAAUCAGUUUAUUGACACAGUAACACAACACACUUGCCUCCCUGACAUCCCCAUUCCCCUCAUCCAGUCUAGAUUUCUCCCCUUCCUCUCCCCUUAAAACAAGCUGUUCAGUGAAAACAGUUAAGGGCAGGCCACUUCUGCACUCCCAGCACUACCCUAGGCCCUGCAGAGCAGGGUCUCAGGCACUACUCAGAACCUGCUGGGGAGGCAGUUAGCACUAUACUCAGCCAGCCAGAAACAACCAGUCCCUAAGAACAAAUUUCCCCACAAUUCCCAGGCCCUGAGUUGCUAAUAUAUUCCUCUUUCUUACUGCUCUUUGUGACCCCAGGAAGGAGACCUUGGGGCCUGGGCCUGCAGCCAGGAGCAAGAACUCCCGGCAGUGAUUUGAGAAUUCGAGUUUGGCUAGUGUUUUUUAAGGCCCAGGCACCCCCCAAAAAAGCCCUGGUGGUGGUGGGAGUAAACUUCAGUGCCCCUAUUUAAAAUGUACUGAUAACAUUAAACAGAUUAAGCCAGCUUAACCAAAUGCCAGAAUAACACUAAACUGUAGAGAAGGAGGGGUCGGACCUGCUUACUCCAGGCCAGACACAAACGCACACAGAGAAGGCCAGGUAAGAGUGUCAAAACAACUCAAGGACACUGCCCAGGGAUGAAAAGCCUAUACUCAGGAGCCCCUGGGGUGACAGGAAGCAAGGAAAGAAAAUGCGCAAGUCUUAAUAACCAAAACAGAAAGCCAACAGCAGGGAAACCUGAGCCUGACAGUGCUGCCCACCAGCCCUCCAGGCCAUUCCCCUGAACCCAGACAGUCCCUCCCCCUCUAGGCAAUGUCCUCCCCUAGGCUAGAUAGAGCACAUCACACAGCGCAGUUUAAAAAGCUUCUAAUGCCAGUUCAUAAACAUCUUCAUUUACUAUUGGUGAUUACAUGUGAAUAAUAUGUUUAUACUGUUCUUUAUGGAAAACAAUUUCAACGAGUCAACUCCCAGAACACAAUAGGCAACCCUUACCCUGAGCUCCUCAGUGUCCUUCCCUAGACAGCAAGGAGCCCUCUCCUCUGUCCCAGGGCUGCCUAACUUCCCCUGUUCCCCCACUGUGGCUCUUGGGCAAAGCAUCCUCUAUGACCAUUAGUCCUCAUCGGACAAGUUGUGGUCCAGGGGAUAAACCAUGAACAUCACAUCUGGCUGAGAGGGAACACAGGGAUGGCCUGGACGUACAAUCUCAAAGCCCAAGAAGCUGAAGGUCUUCAGGAGUGGAGCUGCAGAAGAUAGAGUGUAAAAGAGAAUCCGAUGAGAAACACAAGGGUAGGCUCAAAUCAAAACCCCAAAGAUAAGACAAAUAAGCACUAGGCUUUUACUAACCUUCUGGGCACUUGCCCUCCUGCCAGGAUUUCCCAUGGUUUAUAAGGCAAAUUCAAGAGUCCCACACCUCAUUGUAGAGGUAAUCCCUUCUCUCCCCAGGUCCCGUUUGGGCUGCGGGGCUCCGGCCAGUCUGACUCCUUACCUCUGUCUUCUCGGCCCUUCCUGAAGCAGAUGAAGACGUAGUUCAGUUUCAUCUUUUCUUCAGCAAACUCUAGCAGUGCUAACAAUCUGCAGGAAGCAGAGAAGUACUUAGGCCCAUCACCACCUCCCUUGACCUCCCUCCCAUUCACACCCCACCCCUACCCCUACCAACCUAAAGGCUUUUCUGAGGCCUAAAGGCAGCAAUAUAAAUACAGAAGCUCCAGGAGGAAGAUUCCUAUGUCAAGACCCCAAGAGCCUUGAAUUCAUAAAGAAAAAAGCCACAGCACCUAAGAAAAAUGAUGUUGACUUUUCUCUUCCUGUAAUGGGCGUUCUUCUGAAAGUAAAACACUACCCACCUUAACUAAUGCUGUUCACAAGAUAGAGUUUGAGGCCUAGAAUGAGAACCCCAGUUCUUGAGGUGUCCCCCAGAUUGCCAAGUUUGAUAUGAUCACCUGCCACUGAGAGGACACUGGGCUCUAACACUGCCUAAAAGGAUUUUCUCAGGAGGCUGGGGCCACUCAAGAAUUCUGUCUUCAGGUCAUUUCUUACACACCUGGGCCACUUGGAGGGUCUCUGCCCAAUCCAAAAUGAAGUCCCACUUACCCAUGAGCUUCCUGGCCUUUUAAACUGCACCACUAUGGUAGCUAAAGGGGGACUUGGUGUCUGCUGAGAACCUGAACCAUGAGGCGAUUAACUGGCAGGCAUUUGGUUAAUGUGGUAACGAUCUCCUUUAAUUAUAACCUAGAGCUGGCCUGUCUUACCGGCUAAAAAUAACCUGUUACAAAACAGUAUCUGCUUGGGGAGUCUAGAGCUAAGGGAGAAGGCACAGACUCCCCUAUAAUUCUGUUACCCACAGUAGACAUAUACCCUUCUCUGGAAUGGGACCUCCUUUCCCUUCCCCAGCAUUUGGCUCUUUACCCUUCUUUGCUCCCAUCAGCUAAUAAUCCAUCUGGGAUUUCUACAAACAGGCUCUGGCUGGACAGGACUGCAUCCCAAGAAGAGACCUUCACCUCGGUGACCUCAUACUGGAAGUGGAUAAUGUGAGGUUUUCCAUCAUUCACAGGGAGGUCCUGGGUCACAGUGAGCUUCUCGUCCUGGGAAGGAAAGCAGGGCAGAGGACCAGGUCACUACUGCUUCUGGCCAUAUCAUGUACUCCCUAAUGGAGUCAGUGCUGGGAGUCCCCUUAGGCCAGUCUCAGGGUAGCACAGGAUGAAGGGCAUGCUAAAAACGCAGAGCUUCAUGAUGGCUAAAAGCUGUCACUCAACAGGGCACUAAGACCAGCUGACGGUGGUAAAAGCUAGCAAGAUAGGAUGGGAAAUACUUACUAGUUGUCCACUAGGUGUCAAGUACAAAGUGCUGUCCCAUAUAUUACCUCCAUCAAGACAAGCACUUGAGAUGGGUAUUAACAACUCCAUUUUAAAUCUGAGACUGAAGCAACUGCUCCAAAGAUAAUGAAUGGCAAAGAUGCGAUUCAAACCCAGGUCUCCCUGACUCGAAACCCCAUGCUUUUCCCCAACACCAUGUUCUUUUCCUUUCCUGUCAGAAAGGGAAACAUCAAAAACAAGGAUAUGUGUGAGGGUUUGGCUGGAGCCCCAGUCAGCCAAAGCCUGCUUCCAACGGGACUGUAGGGUCUGCGUUAUCUCCCCUGGGCAGAGUCUCAAGAGCCCAGAAUUUAGCUGCCGUGCUAACCUUCCAUCCCAGUCUUAGGGAGAGAAGCUAAAUUAACUUCUGGGCGUCAAUUUACAGCAGAUUAAAAGGGAACAAAUGGUACAGGUAUCUUUCCUUUAGUAUUCCCAAUAAGCCACACAACAGCCUCAGUUGAAAGAGUCCUUCACAGUCCCCCACUGGUCUAGUCAAAGAGCCGGAAGACUCAAGAGAUACCACCCUUGAGCAACAGCUCAGUGGAGUAUGAGAAGGCUCCAUCCCCAGCCUUCCAUCCCAGGGUCCUCCUUACCUUAUAUAUUAGAGCUGAGAGAGAAGGAUCCCUGCCGCCCCCUCGCCCACCGGGGAUCUUCGACAGUGGGUGAGGGGCAUCAGGAGCACCACAGAGGCCCCGGAACAAUGUGCCUGCAGCACUGGAGCUGGGGACAGUUACUCAAAGGCAAAAUACUACUGCAAGAGAGAGAGGGUGAGACAGUAAACACCAAGACUUGAAGAUUUAUCCCAAAUCCCACCCCAGCCCGGCUCUGUAAACCAAUGUGUGAAGGCUCUCCUGCUGCCCCAGUCCUAUGGGCUUCAGCUCCCAGAACUACACUGCUAUCUUAAGGGGAAGCUACUGUGCUGCAGACGUAUAGGGAGGGAGUCUUGGAAGAGCCAAGGGAGUCCAACUGGGUAUAUCUGCCCAGAGGAGCAUCUAGCAAACGUCUUCUAACAAAUCACUGUGGCAAUGUGCAGACCUCAGAAAUCACCAGAUCCUGGCUUACCUGCCAAGCCUCAAACUGUGUGCUAGUCUGUUUUCCUUUCCCUGUUGGUACCUCAACCACCUAUGUGGCAGAAUCACGAAAGCCCAGUCACAUCACGCUGGAGACAGGAAGUCAUGUGGCCUGGGUACUGUGUCCCCGAGGAACUCUCAAGGCCACUUCCUCAAUGAUGGUCCCAUCCCCUUUCUCAGCAAAGGAACUGGAGUGAUAAAACAUUUAACCAAAUCCCUUGAUGGUUAAGAAUAGAACUAAAUCCAGGGACUUGGCUCCCAGAGCAGAGGUACACAAUAGUACAUAGAAUACUGUGCUAAAUGAUUUUGCCCCUGGUAUGCCACCAAACGCUGGACCUCCUUGCCCUUCUUUGCUGAUCCUUUUGUGACCUGAGCAUGAGAGGUCAGGUAAUACUGCUGUGGUCAGAGCAGACACUCAGAUGUGCUAGGUGCGGGGUAUAUGCUGGGAGAGGAGGAUACAAUGCUAUGACCUGAGUAAGGAAGCCAAUAAUCAGAUUAUAGCAAGUAAAAGGCUCCUAAAGGAGUUCCCUGUCACCUUAUUGGCCACCUUGAUUUUCAGAUGGACCCAACAGGGCUGUAGAUCUGCUCAACUGUCUUCUUUGAAUCCAAUUUAGUGGUUCCUUAGGCUGAGAUGCAGCUCAUUUCCUAGGCCAAUGGCAAGUGAAGCAGGGAAAAGGGUAAACUGUGUGUGCAUGUAUACACCAUGACUUCAGCAACAGACAUGUCCCCCAGCCACCACACAUCAGCCUCAGAGCAGCUGGAAUGCAGUGGAUACAUGGAGGGGGUAUUGCAGUGCUAUGCUGGGGUUAGCUCACACAAUCAUGCACAUCUCUUCCCAAAUAGGUGUUUAACGAUGUCGUGUUGAUACUCUCAACUGGCUAAAGGAGGAGUACUUACACUGCAGAAGUCACCAAAUGCUGUAAAUCACGGCUUUUUUUUUUCCUGAAAGCCAUUGUAAAAUGGUGUGAAGUAACUAUUCUUCACACGGUCCUUUGCUUUAUAUAGCAUGGCAUGCCAAUUUUGGACUCUUCUAAAUGAAGAGCAACAGAACUGAACUCACGCCUAACAUAGCAAUGGUACAAUAACCGAAGGGUCAGUCCUAUUAGCAGAUCUGUAUCUGCACUCCAGCUGAAAAUGGAAGUCCAAACCGUCACUUCUCAGUUCCUAGGGUUCUCUCAAAGAUUUCAACUGGGGGCCGACAAGUAUACUUGGAAAUUUGAGAAACAGAAUUCCCAGCAAAGUGUCCAUGAGUCUGCAGCAUCAAUAUCUAAGGGUGCACUUUGGGAGGCUGAGGUGAGCGGAUCACUUGAGCUCAGGAGUUCAAGACCAGCCUGGCCAACACGGUGAAACCCCAUCUCUACUAAAAGUAUAAAAAUUAGCCAGGCAUGGUGGCAGGCACCUGUAAUCCCAGCUACUCAGGAGGCUAAGGCAGGAGAACUGCUUGAACACAGAAGGUGGAAGCUGCAGUGAGCCAAGAUUGAGCCACUGCACUCUAGCCUGGGCAACAGAGCCAGACUCCUCCAAAAAAAAAAAAAAAAAUAGGGGUGUAACCACAUGCCUGCCUCUGGAAAACCUCAGGUCAUCCUCACCUCCUCUACUCUUGGCCUCACCAACAGCUGUUAACAGAAAGGGCCGGGCUGGGCACAGUGGCUUGCACCUGUAAUCCCAACACUUUGGGAGACUGAGGAGAGCAGAUCACUUGAGGUCAGGAGUUCGAGACCAGCCUGGCCAAUAUGGUGAAACCCCAUCUCUACUAAAAAUAAUAAAAAAAAAAAAAAUAGGUGCGGUGCUGCAUACCUGUAGACUCAGCUACUCAGGAGGCUGACGCAGGAGAACCACUUGAACCUGGGAGGCAGAGGUUGCAGUGAGCCAAUAUUGUGCACUGUAUUCCAGCCUGGGUGACAGAGAAAUUUCAUCUCAAACCAAACCCUGUCUCUAGCGAAAAUACAAAAAUUAGCCACGUGUGGUGGUACAGGACUGUAAUCUCAGCUAUUCAGGAGGCUGAGCCAAGAGAAUUGCUUUAACCUGGGAGGCAGAGAUUGCAGUGAGCCAAGACCACGCCGUUGCACUCCAGCUAGGCAACAAGAGCAAAACUCUGUCUCAACCACCACCACCACAAAAGGGCUUAACAGAGGACUAUGCUACUGUUUUCAAGGACAGGAGUUAUUUUCUUGGGGACUAUGAGCUAUUGUGAUUCCCCCUUCCAAUGUGUUAAGGGGCAGAAUAACAGUGUCCAGACUAGAAGAAAUAAGAUGAGGGUGUCGAGGGGGUGGGGCAUGGGGGGGGAUAGUUUCCUCAAACAAAUGGACACACACACAUGCACCACAUUAUACCAUUCCCUUCUCAUCCCCUAGUGACUAUUUCUGGCCUGUGCUGAGGUUCCUGCAGGAGCACGAGGAGCGCUGAGCCGCUGGAGAAAGCUGGUUUGCUUCUACUGGUCAGUGGAGCUACUCAAAGAUGAGGCAAACCCCUCUAGGAUAGACAGAUGAGAUGUCAUCGUGUAUACGAGAAGAAUUAAUUAGGUUCACAAAAUAAUCCUAUCAAUCACCAAGGCCCUUGCUAGAAUUCUGGUGCCAGGCUCCUACUUCCGAAGGAAUUAUUCCUCAAAUGGUCUUUAGAUGAGUGAGCUACAAUCAACCUCUGCCCUGCAUUCCAACUACCGUCUUGAUUCUUAGCUAAUUUUUACUUGAAAACAGUAGACACAACAGGGCCAACCCACUGAAAAGAUCAGAAUAAAGUGAGGAUUUCUUUUUAAACCAUAAUCCCCUUUGUCUUCCUAGAAAUAAGCCCUGGAGCCUGCCUGCCCUGUGUCCAGCACUCAUCUAUAAGCUUGUGAUAUUUUCUUUCUUAAAGCAGUGGGGCUUGUGAUAUUUCUGCUUUCCUGAUCUCUCUCCUCUUCAAAUAAAUGCAAGAUAUCUA